Long non-coding RNA from Coccinella septempunctata (seven-spotted ladybird), 551 nucleotides. RefSeq lists it as uncharacterized. NCBI's taxonomy places the organism in Eukaryota, Metazoa, Arthropoda, Insecta, Coleoptera, Coccinellidae. The transcript has 2 exons. The record is from RefSeq and is a predicted model, not a curated record.
AUCAACAUCAUGUCUCUUGCAAAUUGAGGCUAACAAAUUAUAUUUUUUCAGUGACCCUGGCGAUUCAGACUGCGAUUCAGUCGAUACAUAUCUUCCCAACAACAGAGGUUCAUCAUUUGACGGAAGAAGAUUCGACAAUUUGAGCCGAUCAAGCACAUCCUCCAGCAAUCUAGGAAAGGAGGCGUCAUUUACCUGAGUAGCGCAGAAUCUCUGCCGAACAUUUUCUUGGUUCUUCUAUCGCAGAGAUGGACAAGAUGAAGGCACAGAUGACGCGAGAGAAGCCGUGACGGAAUUUGUCUGAUGGAACCAUCAUUAUCGGAUGUGAUAAAGAAAUUGUACUGUAUAAAAGUAUGAAGGUUAUAACCUCAGACCUCUUUAGAGUUCGACAGAAAGAUUCAAAAUUUUAUUAUUUAUUAUGUAUCAUUUUAAUAUUGUAAUUUUUGUAUAUAUUUCACAGAAAGGUCGUUCGUACAUGAGAAUCGGUGGAGGAGAUUUGUCAAUUUGUAUGACGAGAAUGUAUUUAGCAUUUCUUCAUGAAGUAUAUUUGUAUA